AGAGGCGAAGGCGACUAUCUGGGGCAUUACUGACGCUGAGGUGCGAAAGCGUGGGGAGCAAACGGGAUUAGAUACCCCGGUAGUCCACGCUGUAAACGAUGAAUGUUAAUCGUCGGGCCUUUGAGCUCGGUGGUACAGCUAACGCGUUAAACAUUCCGCCUGGGGAGUACGGUCGCAAGAUUAAAACUCAAAGGAAUUGACGGGGACCCGCACAAGCGGUGGAGCAUGUGGUUUAAUUCGAUGCAACGCGAAGAACCUUACCACCUAUUGACAUCUUGAUCGCGGAGCUUGUAAUGAGCUCUUUCAGUUCGGCUGGAUCAAUGACAGGUGUUGCAUGGCUGUCGUCAGCUCGUGUCGUGAGGUGUUGGGUUAAGUCCCGCAACGAGCGCAACCCUCGUCCUUAUUUGCCAGCACGUUAUGGUGGGAACUAUAAGGAUACUGCCCGUGACAAACGGGAGGAAGGUGGGGACGACGUCAAGUCAUCAUGGCCCUUACUAGGUGGGCUACACACGUGCUACAAUGGCAGUGACAAUGAGCAGCUUAUCCGCGAGGAUUGGCUAAUCUUUAAACACUGCCUCAGUUCGGAUUGGAGUCUGCAACUCGACUCCAUGAAGUUGGAAUCGCUAGUAAUCGUGGGUCAGCAUGCCACGGUGAAUACGUUCCCGGGUCUUGUACACACUGCCCGUCAUGCCAUGAGAAUUGGUCUUACCUUAAGCUAGUGAGCUAACCUUCGGGAAGCAGCUAUCCACGGUAAAAUCAGUGACUGGGGUAAAGUCGUAACAAGGUA
RNAcentral lists this ribosomal RNA (787 nucleotides) under uncultured bacterium. Its description in RNAcentral is "bacterial SSU rRNA". It matches the Rfam family "Bacterial small subunit ribosomal RNA", at positions 711 to 1498 of the family's 1533-position model. The record is from RNAcentral.